Molecule: long non-coding RNA, 493 nt
Filed under: Mus musculus (house mouse)
Lineage: Eukaryota; Metazoa; Chordata; Mammalia; Rodentia; Muridae
Description: predicted gene, 48383
Source: RNAcentral
AGCUCUUGCUCUUGCUCCUUUGCCUGCUUGCUGCGUGAGACUGAGUAACUGCUAGAUCCUUGGACUUCCAUUCACAGCUGCGACUGAACAAUUGUUGGGAAUUCGGCUGCCGACUACCACUUGACUGCUCGGUCCUCUGCAGACAGUCCCAGGAGACACACAACCUGCUCCAAACACACUAGUUAAAGACCCAGAAGACCUCUGCCACACUAUCAAGGGGAUAUCUAAAAAUACAGGAAAGUCUCAAGCAGAAAGCAACCAUCACUCCCAUUCCAGCCCCUCAAAGUUAAUCCCCAUUAGUGCAACCAACUCAGACCCUGAUCCCAAGUGUGAUGUCUUGUCACUGUGGCCUUGGCUCAUUUGCCCUAAGAGAAGAGAAGAUGUAUCACACUAGGAUACUCUGCAGUAUAAAAUGGAACCUCUGACCAUCCAACUACAGCAAGGGUGACAGUGACCAGGGGACACAAGCAACUGUCCUUGCCUCACUGCAUGA